Molecule: ribosomal RNA, 697 nt
Filed under: uncultured Pseudomonadota bacterium
Lineage: Bacteria; Pseudomonadati; Pseudomonadota
Description: bacterial SSU rRNA
Rfam family: Bacterial small subunit ribosomal RNA
Source: RNAcentral
UAACAGGAAGAAGCUUGCUUCUUUGCUGACGAGUGGCGGACGGGUGAGUAAUGUCUGGGAAACUGCCUGAUGGAGGGGGAUAACUACUGGAAACGGUAGCUAAUACCGCAUAACGUCGCAAGACCAAAGAGGGGGACCUUCGGGCCUCUUGCCAUCGGAUGUGCCCAGAUGGGAUUAGCUAGUAGGUGGGGUAACGGCUCACCUAGGCGACGAUCCCUAGCUGGUCUGAGAGGAUGACCAGCCACACUGGAACUGAGACACGGUCCAGACUCCUACGGGAGGCAGCAGUGGGGAAUAUUGCACAAUGGGCGCAAGCCUGAUGCAGCCAUGCCGCGUGUAUGAAGAAGGCCUUCGGGUUGUAAAGUACUUUCAGCGGGGAGGAAGGGAGUAAAGUUAAUACCUUUGCUCAUUGACGUUACCCGCAGAAGAAGCACCGGCUAACUCCGUGCCAGCAGCCGCGGUAAUACGGAGGGUGCAAGCGUUAAUCGGAAUUACUGGGCGUAAAGCGCACGCAGGCGGUUUGUUAAGUCAGAUGUGAAAUCCCCGGGCUCAACCUGGGAACUGCAUCUGAUACUGGCAAGCUUGAGUCUCGUAGAGGGGGGUAGAAUUCCAGGUGUAGCGGUGAAAUGCGUAGAGAUCUGGGGGAAUACCGGUGGCGAAGGCGGCCCCCUGGACGAAGACUGACGCUCAGGUGCGA